CCUACGGGAGGCAGCAGUGGGGAAUAUUGGGCAAUGGGCGCAAGCCUGACCCAGCAACGCCGCGUGAAGGAAGAAGGCUUUCGGGUUGUAAACUUCUUUUCUCAGGGACGAAGAAAGUGACGGUACCUGAGGAAUAAGCCACGGCUAACUACGUGACAGCAGCCGCGUUAAUACGGAGGAUGCGAGCGUUAUCCGGAUUCAUUGGGUUUAAAGGGUGCGCAGGCGGGCCUUUAAUCCGGCGGUGAAAUUGCGGGGCUCAACCCCGCCGAGCCGUCGGAACUGGGGGCCGUGAGUGCGGCGGAGGCAUGCGGAAUGCGCGGUGUAGCGGUGAAAUGCAUAGAUAUCGCGCAGAACCCCGAUUGCGAAGGCAGCGUGCCGUGCCGCCACUGACGCUGAGGCACGAAAGCGCGGGGAUCGAACAGGAUUAGAUACCCGAGUAGUC
RNAcentral lists this ribosomal RNA (442 nucleotides) under uncultured bacterium. RNAcentral describes it as "partial 16S ribosomal RNA". It matches the Rfam family "Bacterial small subunit ribosomal RNA", at positions 338 to 795 of the family's 1533-position model. The record is from RNAcentral.